ACUAACCUUGCCUUAAGUCCCUCUUCAGAAACCGGAUCCGUAACAGAGGAAUCGGGUCAACAAUAGGCAAUAUGGGCGUGACGCCGAAAAUUGCACCAUCAAUGCUUUCAUCGGAUUUCGCUAAUUUGGCAUCGGAGGCAGAACGCAUGCUUAAUUGCGGCGCUGAUUGGCUACACAUGGACAUCAUGGAUGGGUAUGCUAGAUUCUCUUGCACGUAGCAAAUUAUUCUGGCCUUGAAAUUGAGUUGAUAAAACUUGGAUUUUUGAAAUUAUGGUUCUUUUCCGCUACCCAAUUUUUCUUUCAUGUUGAUGGAUUAAGCAAUUUUAUUUUUCAAUAUAAUUGUCAGUUGUGAGAUUGAGCUUUUUAUAUUGCUGUGAGAAUUAAUUUUUGAUUUGCUGCAGGCUCAGCUUUAAAGCAGGAAUCUUUAACAUCUAGCUGCUCUAAAGGCGCUAAAAAUGGGAAAUGGAAAUAAUGUUUGAGGCCUAGGUUAUCUAUUAGGAAACUGUAGGAGUUAAAUUAGUUUAGUACAAAAUAGAAGAUGGGAACUCUUGAAUGAAUGUUUUGGUUCAAGAAAUAUUAUAUUUUGUAGAAAUAAAAUGAGAGAAUAUUUGGAUAAGUAAUAGUUAACAUAAGACUAGAUUAGAAUGUCUUGUUUUCUUUGCAGUAAACGACUUUUAUGGUGUGAUGUGAUACAGAGUUUCAUGUGAUUUUUAGAGUUUCAAAACAUGCUUACUACUAGCUAUUGUUGUUAAUGUUGACUUGUUAUGUCCUUGCUAAGAUUUAACAAAGUAUUUGCUUUGUCCAUCAAUGAUCCAACUGUUCUUUUUUCUUAGUGAAUGGGUUAACAUUCAUUUUCAUUUUCGUUUAGGCACUUUGUCCCAAAUCUAACCAUUGGUGCUCCAGUCAUUGAGAGUUUGAGAAAACACACAAAGUAAUGUCUUGCAUCCUUAUUAUCUUACUCGAUUGAUCCUUUUUACAUUUGCAUCUUUUCGAAGUUCUAACUACUUACAGCCUAUGGCACUAUGUUGCGUGGUUAUUCUGUUGUAGGGCAUAUUUGGAUUGCCACCUUAUGGUCACCAAUCCUCUUGAUUAUGUUGAGCCUUUGGGCAAAGCUGGUGCUUCUGGAUUUACAUUUCACGUUGAAGCAUCCAGAGAAAACUGGAGAGAACUAAUCCAGAGAAUCAAGUCAAAAGGCAUGAGGCCUGGUGUAGCUUUAAAUCCUGGAACUCCUAUCGAAGAAGUUUAUCCUUUGGUAUAAAUUUUUUCUCCCCACUUUCAUAAAAUAAAAGAAUUUUCCAGUUUUUGUGUUUGCAAUUUUGUAGAUUUGAUGCCCUGGGAUACAUAGCAUAUGUUGUUUCACAGGUUGAGUUUGAAAAUCCUGUGGAAAUGGUCCUUGUCUUGACUGUGGAACCUGGAUUUGGAGGACAAAAGUUCAUGCCAGAUAUGAUGGAUAAGGUAAAGACAUUGAGGAAGAAGUAUCCAUCCCUUGAUAUAGAGGUGAGUCCAUUUCUAUUUUAUUAUCUUUGUCUUUCUGGCACUUCUGAAAUUAAAGUUCUGAUUCCUGAGCUUCAUUUUAGACAGGCAUGCUUUAGCUUGCUUAUUAGAUGCUCCAAUUUGGUUAUUGUUAGAAGAAAAACCUUUUUGGUAUUGUGAUUUGAAGAAUUUAAAGUAACUCAAAUCUUUGGAACUUCUGAAAACAUUUAGGUAUUUUUCCUAGGCAUUGUUGUAACACCGAUACAUUAUUAUCUUAUUGUUUGCAACAAAUGGGUUUCCUCAUGCUUCUUUGACUUCUCUGCUCUUUCAGACUACUUUGGUCCCUGUUUUUGCAUCCCUUGUGCGUGUGCACAUGCAUGUCACAGAAAUUGAGAAAGAUAAUUUCUUCGUGCUUGCCUGCAUGAUCACUUGUUAAAAUGUGAAACUUUUUUGCAGGUGGAUGGUGGUUUAGGGCCUUCAACAAUUGACAUGGCAGCUUCAGCUGGUGCAAACUGCAUUGUGGCAGGAAGUUCAGUGUUUGGAGCCCCUGAGCCAGCCCAUGUAAUAUCACUUAUGAGAAAGAGUGUUGAGGAAGGUCAGAAAAACAAUUGAUGUUCAUACAGGCAAGAUACAUCAUGACUGGAUUUCAGGCAGCAAAAUAUGCCUAAAGACUACAUUUUCAUUCGAUUGUUGGAAUUUACAAAUGUUAUGAUUUUAUUUGUUUUGUUAUUUGUCACUCAUUUUCUCACUCGGAAUUGUAUGCAACUUUGUAUGGUAAUAAGACUCACUGAAGACCUUCAUGAAGGUGAGUUAAAUUGAUACAUGUGCUAUGUGAAACUGUUUGAUCAAAAUCCUACAAUAAAAUCUAUCCUUUA
RNAcentral lists this unclassified non-coding RNA (2348 nucleotides) under Hevea brasiliensis (rubber tree). Lineage: Eukaryota; Viridiplantae; Streptophyta; Magnoliopsida; Malpighiales; Euphorbiaceae. The record is from RNAcentral.